GUGAAAAAAAUGGUGCAAGCCUUGCAUAGUAUAACACUGGCCUGGCUGUCAUCCAUGGUGUAUUGUUAUCGUCGUUUUCACGGACGUCGCGGUAGACCGACUUCGUCGAGGAUUUCAUUCGCGCCACCCGGUGUACACGUCAUAAUGCAUUAUAGCGACGCCACUAUAGACGCUGUUCUGGCCGUAGUAAGGUAGUGACCGAUGCUGUAGGAUUCAGGUGUGCCUCACGGCACAGACGCUCUCAGUUUAGCGGCGGUAGCCCACGCGAAUCGCCAGUGUUCCCUUUGACAGUGUCGUUUACCUCGGCCACGAUGACGAAACCAAAGUCGAAAGUAAUUCAGUUGCGGUGCUACCGGCAGUCGUUUCAAAGUUUCCCCGGUCUGUGAUAAAGCUCGUGAACUUGGACGCGGACGAUAAACAGCGACCAUCGACGGGGAAACUAGUCGGCGAGCCUCCCGAAUGGAAAACAGCGCUUGCUAAACAGUGUAAACAGUGACACAUCCUCGCUUUACACCUGCCGGCACCCUAAAUCCGAAUGACACCGUGAGCAGUACGAUUUUCCUACAGGGCUUCUUUGAUAAGAUUGUGUGGUACACAAAAUUGAUUUGUUUCAAAGGAAAUAAUACACGAGGCAGAAACGAAGAAAGGGAAAAGACUUUUUUCAAUAGAAGCGAGUAAUAGAAAGAAGCGAAGAAUUAAACGUGUAGUAGAAACUAAGGUGAGAUUAAUAAAAUUAGGUAGAAGACAAACAAAGUGGUAUUUUAAUGAAAGCGAUUGAUAGAAAAAAUAACAGGACUGAAAAUACGAAAAUAGAAACUCAGGGGAAAUUAUAUAGUUUCAUCAAACGAGGCAGUUCAAUCGUUCACGAAGCAAGAAGAAUUGAAAACGAAAGCAAUUUUCUUAAAGAAACAAAUAGUAAAGCAAUGUAAAGAAUAAAAAAAUUUACUACAAUUUGUAAGUCAAUUGUGUUUAAUAUAUAACUUUCCUAAAGAUGGUUUAAAUAGCAAGAUUGGAACAUUUAAGAACAUUGGAAUAUGUGCUUGAUAAUAAACCACUCUUUGUCUUCAAAUUGAAUUUAUAUCGUACAAGCAACUAUCUACGAUUUGGGAAUUUCCACAGUCCAGAGUGUCGAGUUUCGUGUCCUCAUCUGUCGCUUUUUAAAGUAUUGUGUUCCGUUAAGCUGCUCGUUCGGCAAGUUUCUGUUUUCCCUACCUGAAUUUGAUAUUUCAAGUGCUCUUGUGUAUCUCCAGAGGAAGUCAUCUCGAGAACCAUCGGUUUAGAAUCACGCUAACCCAUUAAGUACCUAUUUAGGUGUCCCCUUUACCAAGAUUUAUUCGAAUGUGACAUUUAUACUUUUUUUUAUAAUAUUAGAUAGACUGGAAUGUAAUGUCGUUUUUGCAAUUUUAAAUACUUGUUUAACGAUCAUUAGCUCAUUCAUUUACCGAUUUGGCUUUCAAAAUUUGCACACUAAUAAAUAAUCGCAGUCCACUCAAAAAUAACGAGAGCGAUUACAUAAUUGAUUAAAAAUAGAAAUUUAUUAAUUGUUUGAAUUUAAUAUAAAAGAAACGACAUUACUUUCCAGUCUACCUAAUAUAUUGGAAA
Hylaeus volcanicus is the source of this 1602-nucleotide long non-coding RNA. RefSeq lists it as uncharacterized. The record is from RefSeq and is a predicted model, not a curated record. The transcript has 3 exons. NCBI's taxonomy places the organism in Eukaryota, Metazoa, Arthropoda, Insecta, Hymenoptera, Colletidae.